Molecule: ribosomal RNA, 540 nt
Filed under: uncultured bacterium
Lineage: Bacteria
Description: bacterial SSU rRNA
Rfam family: Bacterial small subunit ribosomal RNA
Source: RNAcentral
AAUAGAUACCCGGGUAGUCCACGCCCUAAACGAUGCGAACUGGAUGUUGGGUACAUUACGGUACUCAGUGUCGAAGCUAACGCGUUAAGUUCGCCGCCUGGGGAGUACGGUCGCAAGACUGAAACUCAAAGGAAUUGACGGGGGCCCGCACAAGCGGUGGAGUAUGUGGUUUAAUUCGAUGCAACGCGAAGAACCUUACCUGGCCUUGACAUCUGUCGAAUCCUGCAGAGAUGCGGGAGUGCCGCAAGGAACGACAAGACAGGUGCUGCAUGGCUGUCGUCAGCUCGUGUCGUGAGAUGUUGGGUUAAGUCCCGCAACGAGCGCAACCCUUGUCCCUAGUUGCCAACACGUAAUGGUGGGAACUCUAGGGAGACUGCCGGUGACAAACCGGAGGAAGGUGGGGAUGACGUCAAGUCCUCAUGGCCCUUACGGCCAGGGCUACACACGUACUACAAUGGUCGGUACAGAGGGUUGCGAAGCCGCGAGGCGGAGCCAAUCCCAGAAAGCCGAUCCCAGUCCGGAUUGGAGUCUGCAACUCGA